RNAcentral lists this ribosomal RNA (931 nucleotides) under Staphylococcus aureus M1106. Its description in RNAcentral is "bacterial SSU rRNA". It matches the Rfam family "Bacterial small subunit ribosomal RNA", at positions 8 to 920 of the family's 1533-position model. Lineage: Bacteria; Bacillati; Bacillota; Bacilli; Caryophanales; Staphylococcaceae. The record is from RNAcentral.
AGAGUUUGAUCCUGGCUCAGGAUGAACGCUGGCGGCGUGCCUAAUACAUGCAAGUCGAGCGAACGGACGAGAAGCUUGCUUCUCUGAUGUUAGCGGCGGACGGGUGAGUAACACGUGGAUAACCUACCUAUAAGACUGGGAUAACUUCGGGAAACCGGAGCUAAUACCGGAUAAUAUUUUGAACCGCAUGGUUCAAAAGUGAAAGACGGUCUUGCUGUCACUUAUAGAUGGAUCCGCGCUGCAUUAGCUAGUUGGUAAGGUAACGGCUUACCAAGGCAACGAUGCAUAGCCGACCUGAGAGGGUGAUCGGCCACACUGGAACUGAGACACGGUCCAGACUCCUACGGGAGGCAGCAGUAGGGAAUCUUCCGCAAUGGGCGAAAGCCUGACGGAGCAACGCCGCGUGAGUGAUGAAGGUCUUCGGAUCGUAAAACUCUGUUAUUAGGGAAGAACAUAUGUGUAAGUAACUGUGCACAUCUUGACGGUACCUAAUCAGAAAGCCACGGCUAACUACGUGCCAGCAGCCGCGGUAAUACGUAGGUGGCAAGCGUUAUCCGGAAUUAUUGGGCGUAAAGCGCGCGUAGGCGGUUUUUUAAGUCUGAUGUGAAAGCCCACGGCUCAACCGUGGAGGGUCAUUGGAAACUGGAAAACUUGAGUGCAGAAGAGGAAAGUGGAAUUCCAUGUGUAGCGGUGAAAUGCGCAGAGAUAUGGAGGAACACCAGUGGCGAAGGCGACUUUCUGGUCUGUAACUGACGCUGAUGUGCGAAAGCGUGGGGAUCAAACAGGAUUAGAUACCCUGGUAGUCCACGCCGUAAACGAUGAGUGCUAAGUGUUAGGGGGUUUCCGCCCCUUAGUGCUGCAGCUAACGCAUUAAGCACUCCGCCUGGGGAGUACGACCGCAAGGUUGAAACUCAAAGGAAUUGACGGGGAC